This is a long non-coding RNA of Hemibagrus wyckioides, 10282 nucleotides long. RefSeq lists it as uncharacterized. Lineage: Eukaryota; Metazoa; Chordata; Actinopteri; Siluriformes; Bagridae. The transcript has 5 exons. The record is from RefSeq and is a predicted model, not a curated record.
UUUUCACUCUCUUUCAAAGUGCUGCCAUCGCCGCCUCUCCAAGUUCUCGAACAGACACUGCAGAUGCUAAAGACGAGCGCACCAAUCGACAGCACUCACCUCCUCCCAAGCACCACGAGAGCUUUUCAUGGCUCCCAGAAAAAAGGGGUUCUGAUGGAGAUGUAGAUGUGAAGAGUUGAACGUGUUCAGGACCACAGACAGCACUCGGUCUCCGCUGCACACUUCCUGCGAAAUACUGAAUUCCAGAUAAAAUCUGGCUCACUUGAGCACAAAGAAUAUUCCUCAAGAGUCCUUAAGAUGGCUAAAGCUUCUGGGAAAUGGAGUUGCUAUGGUUUGUUUUGUUUACCGAAAACAAACCACAUCGCAGCCUACAAAAACUCUCCAUCCAAACUCUCCAUCCAACCAUAUUGACGUUGCUGGAGUCAUCCAGUGGGUUGGCAAUGACUGAGUUGUGGAUAAGGAUGAAGAGGGGCAGGUGAGCGAGGAAGUCGAGCAGGUCGAGAGAGCGAAGGCUACGGAGUUCACGCCUGACCUCUUCCUCAUGCUCCUCACGGAUCCCCCCGGCCUUCAGCUCCACCAGCAGUUGUUCGGCACUGAUACGACCCUGUGGUGCCUCACUGCCCUCAGACUGGCCCUCCAGCAGGAACAGGAACAACUGCUGCAAAACGACAGCACAGGUAAGGUCGCUUUUUUUUACAUGAUGUCUUCCUGUGCAAGACCACUGUGUCAUUUGGAGUAGAUAUUUCACUGUUUUUGGAGCCAGACUUCCUUUUGUUGUUUUUACCAUACGGUAUGUGGUACAUAAACCUUCAGUUCACAGAGCUGAUGGAUGGGAAAGUAUUGAUUAAUUUCCUAUAACAGCAGAUCUGAGAAAUCACAGGUUUACUUUCACUCAUUCUUUUUACCAGUACACUGACUUUCCUGAAAUUUUCAAUCAGCAGAAAUAAAUGAAUGAUGUUCAGGCUGUGAAUCUGAUAUAAAAUGACUCUGUUGGCUUUCAGUGUGUUUUAGACAUGUUUUUCCCUCUGUUGGAGAACCUUACACAGAAUUUUACUGGUUGAAGAUCAAAUCUGAGCUGCUUUUUAGAUGAACAAGCACUUGGAGCAUCUCAGAGAGCAGAAAUGGGUUUGACUUCUACUGAACAUUUACUUUGAAGAUACAUAAAUCUCUGUGGACAAAAACAAACCUGGAGCUUUUCUAUGAAUAUAUCACCCCUAGUAUUCUUGAGAAAAGCAGAAACAAUCCUUCUGAAACAUUACAAAUUUUUAAAGUCCUGAGUGUCUACUUUCAUAUGAGCUUCAUAUUAACCUCCACUGUGGAGUGGAACAUGACAAAGACACUCAAUCAUCAACAUGGACACAACAAAAACAGGAGGAAAGCGUGAAGUUUUCUGUAAAAGAGCCAGGUUUUUUUUUUGUAUAUUUAUGGAAGAAGCCCCCGGUGUCAGUGGGGGGUUUCUUGUUAUUGUGAUUAGCUAGCUAUGGUGUUACUUGAGGUUCUAAUCAAAAAUAAAGAAACUUAACACCAUAAUAUACUUUAUAAAAUGUUACCUUUUGAUAAACAAAAAUGCGAGUGUGCGGUUAGUAAGAACGUGUCUGACGAGCAGCACAUAUGUAUGAUACAAGCAUUGUUGGUUUAGGUUUGAAAUAAUAUGAAUGAAUUUGUAUCUGAAGGGGCGGGGUUAGUGUCUAACGAUCUGUACACUAACCCCGCCCUGUAAUAUCCUAACUGAAACCUUCGUCAUUUACAAAUUGUUACGCCUUUCUAAAGUACGAACAAAAUAAUGCUGUUUCAUUAAAUACAGAAAUAAUUUUAUUCUAAAUGCAAUGUGUUUGUGUGUGUGUGUGUGUGUGUGUGUGUGAAAUAUUGACUACUUUCAGUAUUUAAAAUGUAUGUAAAAUUUGAAUGAAAGGAGAAGGAAAAGGAUGUGUUUAUGUGUUUAUCACUUAACGUAUUGGAGAAAGCUUGUGAGAAGAGGCUAAUGUGUUCUUUACCUGUUUGUGUGUGUGUGAGUGUGUGUGUGAGUGUGUGUCCCAUUCAGACGUGUGUCUGAAGAGGCUCGAGUUACAGCAGCUUGUUCUGGCUCUUCUGUAAGUGCACCUGUUUGCACAGUUAAAUGGAUCCAAGGUAAUGACUAAGGCUGUGUGUGUGUGUGUGUGUGUGUGUUUCUUAUAAUCCCCUGGCAAUAUGCCCGCUCCCCUCUCCACUCCUCCCAAUAACAAUUCCACCUCAUGCUUGCUCUGUAAUUAGCCGGCCCUUUCUCCGCUAACCCUAAGAACUGGCAGCGGGGCUCAACUUCCCUCAGCGGCCCCUUUUUAGCCACCGGCUUUCAAAGUCUCCUCUCCUUUUCCACGUCCUCUGUGUUCAGCGUGUCUGACCGGCCCUUGCUCUUCAAUGGCCACCCUAUAUGCCUCAUCUGAGGUGAGCAGGGUGUCUUUACUUGAUUACAGAGCGCGUUGCACUGGCCGUACACCGCCGGCUACUUUAAUGAGAUUACCGCUUGUAAUCUGUGAAUAAAGGAGAGAAGAGGAGGAGAGGAAGCGAGGAAGGGAGAGACGAAAACCUUGCUUCUAACUCUUCUCAAUUCUCGCUCGUGCACAGCUAGUUUUACACGCCGAAUCGCUCUUCAAAGCAUUUAGCGGUCUUUAUUUCACUAUAAUUAGCCCCCCAGUCGUCCCACCCCGAGCCAAGAGAGAGAGAGAGAGAGAGAGAGAGAGAUUUGAACAUAUAAAUGAGGAAAGAGAGAGAUGCUUAUGGAAUGUAAUUAGUAAGAAACAUGAAAAGUGUACCUUCGCUUUGUACAGCUUCAUCUCCAAAGACUUGAAGUCCAGCUUGCUAAUGAGAGACCGCAUGAAAUCACUGUGUAAAAAACAAAAUCAGUCAGCUUUUCACUCUCGCUCACGCCAUAAAUCACUCUCUCUCCAUUUUUCUUUCACUGAUAAGCACAAUAAAUGUAAUCUUUGGUCAUGACUUGAGAUUAGCAUUAACCUGCUAGAAUGCUAUUCUACAUGCUAUUACUCUAAGCUCACUUUAAAUCGAUGAUGUCAGCAGAACGGAGGAAUUUUCUUACGUUAGAUCUUGAAUGUAAAAUCUGUCAUGGAGUUUGUAAGGUAACGGUUUUUCCUGGGAUCUGUGAUGAGUAAUAAUAUUAUAAUAUAAUAAUGAAUAAAAUCAACAUCAAGCAUGUUAUUAGUCAUGAGGCCUUCAGUCCAUUUAACCCUUUUACCAGCAUACUGGCUUAAAGGACUAAUGGGACGUUUUCAUUCAGUGUAAAUAAAUGAGUGAUGUUCAGGCUGUGAGUCUGAUCUAAAAUGAGUCUGUUGUCUUUCAGUGUGUUUUAGACGUGUGUUUUUCCCUCUGUUGGAGAAUCUUACAUAGAAUUUUACUGGUUGAAGAUCAAAUCUGAGUUGCUUUUUAGAUGAACAAACACUCGGAGCAUCUCAGAGAGCAGAAAUGGGUUCGAGAUCAACAUUUACUUUGAAGACAUUUCUGGAUCUACUUUUAUAUGAGCUUCAUAUUGACCACCACUGUGGAGUGGAACAUGACAAAGAUAGUCAUCAACAUGGACACAACAAAAACAGGAGAACAUUUUUGGCUUCUGAAUAAAACAGCAUGAUUUAUAAUCUAGUUUUGGGUCACAGAAAAAUUAAAGGAUUCUUUUAGUCAUAAAUAACGCUCACUGAAGACACGUGGGAAAUCAUCAAUAGGAAGAAGGUAUAUAGAUGAUGCCAUCAGUUACGUGAGCAUAACGUAUCGUACACUGCUGAUCGCAGGUAGAUUAGAUAAGAUAGAUAAAAAGGCAGUCUGCUACAGAAAUCAGCCGAGAUUUUAACAUCAUAUCAUAUAGUGUGAUAAGUAAUAAUGAUAAAAGACGACAGAUCACAAAGCUUAAAACCAGCAUAGGAGAGAUCGCAAAAAUCACACCAAGGACAAGAUCCAGUCGUUUUCAGGCACUUCAUUUUACAUCGUAUGAUUUUCAGGAAAAAAAAAACCCAACCAACCAGAAAAAAAAGAACAUUACCUUUAAAAUGUUUACACAGCACUAUUCCCAUUUAUUUAUUUAUUUAUUUAUGUAUUUAUGUAUUUAUUUAUUUAUUUAUUAGUUUGUUUUGUUUGUUUGUUUGUUUUCAAGUACAUUUAUAUAACAGUAAUGACACAUAUACAAUGUUUUUAAUAUUUGUUUGUUUGUUUAUUUAUUUAUUUUUUAAUUUUUUUAUUUGUUUGUUUGUUUGUUUGUUUGUUUGUUUUGUUUGUUUGUUUUCAAGUACAUUUAUAUAACAGUAAUGACACAUACAAUGUUUUUAAUAUUUGUUUAUUUAUUUAUUUAUUUAUUUAUUUAAAUUUAUUAAUAGAAUUUAUUAACUAGUUAACCCUUCAGUACUUGUCAGACAUUAAAAAUAAUAAUAAAUACAUAAAUGAUUACAUUAAAAAAAAUCUCAGUAAUGAGGUGAGAUCGGUUUUGUGAGAAUUUUUUCAGAUGAAAACCUCACAAAUCUAUGAGUGUAUAAUUCAUCUAACAUCCACCAGCAUGAGGACAGAAAACUCACAGAACAGCAAAAAUAUCGCUAUUAGCAACAGAGAAAUUUAAAACUGCAAGACAUGGCUGACGUUAGCAGAACUCAGCGAUCUUCUGUAGUCACAGGUCUUUGGCUAGAGGAUCUUCAUCAUAUACUCUGAGGUGUAGGAUGUAGAACAGCAUGAAAAGUCAUCACUGAUAAUUAAGAGAUUGCUGAGAUGGCACAGUGGGAAUACAAAAAAAUAGGGCUGAUUUUGGCGGGUAGUUUUUUGGUGAAGGGGUGUGUGUGUUGGGGGGUGAUGGUAAUGGGGGGGUGAUUGUGUAGAGCGGUUGCUGUUGACGGUAAAGUGUUCUGAGCCCAUUGUGGUUGCUCAUCGCCGCCUGUCCCCUAAACAAAGAUCUGGGACACAAGGCCAGCCCACCAUGAUAACGAUAAAAACUGCCCCAGUGCACGGCGUAGGGUGGACGUAGAGGGGACGAGGGGGGGUGGUUGGUGUAUGUGUGAGUGCUGUAGUGUGACUGACCGAAACACGCACACACAAGAUAAUUACCCCGAGACAUAAGCCAUUCAUUUUGGGACAGAGCGCUGCUGUCCAGCGUGUGGCAUGGCGACGGUCGGCCCCAGUUUUUUUUUUAACAAGAGCAUGCUGGGAGGAGAAUUGCUUCUGUCGAGGUGGAGGGAGUGUAUGUGUGUGUGUGUGUGUGUGUGUGUGGCUGGGGGGAGCUUUUUUGACGAGAACGAGGACGGACAGGCCAGCUAAUGAUCAUUAAUUGCUGUGCAGUGUGGAUAUGUCCGUGUGUGUGUCUGUGUGUGUCCCUCCAGCCCCUGCACACACACAGAGGGGGAUAAUGGUAGCUCUAACCCACUUCUAUUGUUGAGGUGCCCGCUGCUGCCAACCUCAGGAGACCUCACGCUUACGUAAUGGGCCACAUUUUGGCGGACUCUUGUGUCUUUUUUGUUUCAUUAGGGGGUUACAUCAGAGGCGGGAAGUGUGUGUGUGUGUGUGUGUGUGGGAAUGGAGAAUGUGGCGGUAAUAAUGACCCAGUUAAUGUUUUGUAGCAAAAGAAUGAGAAUAGAGUGAGUUGAAUUCAGUGAGCAAGUCUUUUGGCAGGUGUGUGUGACAAUUUAUUUCUGUCGAAGCCAAAAAAAAAAAGAGAGAGUGUCUGAAACUUAACGCACAAAUACAUAUUUACACUCUUUAGAUCUGCCAUGAUGAGACCUAUGGCAAUCAACUGACCAAGAAAGAAAUCCUUAGGAUCUAUUUGAAAAGACUUUGUUCACAAGAUUGGCUGGCAGUAUUUCGUUAUCAAUGGCAAUUUCUUAGCACAGCAUUUAUUGUGGUGUUCCUCAAGGCUCAGCAUCAGAGCCGCUUUCAUUCUCUCUCUUUGUGAUUGUAAAGAAGAGAUUUAGAAUGUGAAUCAGAAUCAUAGUCAUUAGAGUCAAAAUAUAGAAUCUGAAUCAGAAAUUGAAUCAGAAUCAGAAAUGUAUUUGUGAAAAAGAGAAUCAGAAUCAGAAAGUGAAUCAGAAUCAGAAAUAUGUUUGUGAAAAAGAGAACCAGAAUCAGAAAGUGAAUCAGAAUCAAGUGUGUAUGUAAACGGAAUUAGAAUCAGAACGCGAAUCCGAAGCAGAAUCGUGUGUUGGUGAAAAAGAGCAUCGGAAUGUGAAUCAUAAUGGUGUGUGUUCGUGAAAGCCAGAAUUAGAAUCAGAAUUACAAUCCUGGUUUUGUGAAAAAGAGAAUUUAGAAUGUGAAUCAGAACUGUGUAUGUUUGAGAACAUUAGAGUCAGAAUCAGACAGUGAAUCAUAAUCAGAAGUAUGUUUGAAAAAAGAGAAUCAGAAUCGUGUGCUUGUAGAAUUAGGAUCAGAAUCAAAAAUAUGUUUGUGAAAAAGAGAAUGUGAAUCAGAAGGUGAAUCAGAAUCAUGUGUGUCUGUAAACAGAAUCAGAAUCAGAACCAGAAUAGUGUGUUGGUGAAAAAGAGCAUUGGAAUGUGAAUCAUAAUGCUCGGGAAAGCUGGAAUUAGAAUCAGAAUCAGAAUUACAAUCUCACUGUGAAUCAAUUCAGUCAGAAACACUUAAUCGUCCAGGAAUUUAAAGCAGAACGGGAGAAAAGUUCUAGAGUAACUUCAUUUACCUUCAAAAUGUUUACAAAGCGUUAUUCCCAUACACAUUUAUUUAUCCAUUUACAUCUGCAAAUUAAAUCUUUUUAAUAUCCUCAAACACAGCUGUAUCACAGUAACAAAGUGUUUUUUUAAUUUUUUUAAAUUUAUUUAUUAAUAUUAAUUAACGAGCGAAAGUCAGCACUUGGCCUGAGGUCAAAUCAAUAUCCGGGUUCAGCGGAGGUUUAUAAAAAGAGGUUACACAAUGUAACUGUCACUAUUGUAGCCUUUCAUAGAAACACACUUGUCUCUUUUCAUUUGUUUAAUGGCUGCUCCUCCAGCAUGGUCAAAGAGCUAAGCUCACAAAGCACGCAGUGCACUAAAUUAGCAAGGAGGCACGACCCCAGAACAGACACACACACACACAUACUCAUAUACACAUAUAAACAGUAUACAGUGCAGAAAUGCAUACUGUACACACUCACACACUUGCUUGAAGGCCACAAUAGCUAUGACUGCAUGUAUACUGUAUACACACACACACACACACACACAAACACACACACACACACACACAUGACCCGUAAGACCCAGAAGCAGUUAAGGGCCCAUAAAACACUAUGACUAAAGGAAGAGUCUGUGUGUGGGAAUCUCUGGCAUAUGGGCUGUAAUCCAGACUCGCUGCACAAUCUCAUCACUCUAAUGCACUUCACGUUACAGAGCUGACCGCCCAGCACGGUCUGGGUCAACUGCCCAGGGUCACACACACACACACACAAACCCACACUUUUAUACACUUCUGUAUACUGUUGUGGAGUUUUGUUUGUGUAUGUUGUUGUGUAGUUUUGUUUGUGUAUGUUGUUGUGUAGUUUUGUUUGUGUAUGUUGUUGUGUAGUUUUGUUUGUGUAUGUUGUUGUGUAGUUUUGUUUGUGUAUGUUGUUGUGUAGUUUUGUUUGUGUAUGUUGUUGUGUAGUUUUGUUGUGUAGUUUUGUUUGUGUAUGUUGUUGUGUAGUUUUGUUGUGUAGUUUUGUUUGUGUAUGUUGUGCUUCUUACUAGACCCCUAAAUGCAGAUGCACCAGAUGAAGUAACCAACAGCAUAGGCAAUAUUUUUACCAGCACACUAGACACUGUUACCCCAUUCGACUAAAAAAGGUCAGAGAUAAAACACUUGCACCAUGCUACAAUAGUCAUACACACGCCCUCAAGAGAGCAACCCAUAACCUCGAGCAAAAGUGGAGAAAAACCAAAUUAGAAGUUUUUAGAAUUGCGUAUAAAGACAGUCUGUCCAACUAUAGACAGGCUCUAAAAGCUGCUAGGGCUGAGCAUCUGAGCAAUCUGAUAGAAAUAAACCAGAACAAUCCCAGUUUCUUAUUUAGUAUAGUGGCUAUCAGAUAUAGAUAUAGAAGUAUAGAAGCAUCAGAUUUCUGGAGAGAGUAUUUCAGCACAGUUUAGUAGUGAGGACUUUAUGAAUUUCUUCACUAAAAAAUUGUUAGUAUCAGGAACAAAAUAUUGGAUGUUCAACCAUUGACGGCAUCUGGUGAUCCAGACCAGCCUAUAGCUCCACACUUAAAGCUACAAUGCUUUACCAGCAUAAGACAGGAAGAGCUAGCUAAACUUAGCCCCACGGCUAAAUCAAAAAUGUGUUUGCUAGAUCCAAUUCCAACUAGAUUGCUGAAAGAAGUGAUACAUGCAGCUGGAGAGCCUCUUCUUAAUAUUAUUAACUCUUCGUUAUAUCUAGGUCAUGUCCCAAAAUCUCUUAAGUUAGCCGUUAUUAAGCCUCUUCUUAAGAAACCAAAGCUAGACCCCGAUGAAAUAUCAAAUUACAGACCGAUUUCAAACCUUCCGUUUAUAUCUAAAAUAUUAGAAAAGGUGGUGUCAGCUCAAUUAUGCUCCUUCCUACAGGAAAACAAUAUCCUUGAAGAAUUUCAGUUGGGUUUUAGGCCCCAUCAUAGUACAAAAACUGCACUAGUUAAAAUCACUAAUGACUUGUUUUUAGCUUCGGACCAAGGCUGCAUCUCCAUUUUAGUCCUGCUUGAUCUUAGUGCUGCAUUCGACACUAUAGAUCAUAAUAUUCUCAUAGAUCGCUUACAAAAUCACACAGGUAUGCAGGGACAGGCAUUAAAAUGGUUUAGAUCCUACCUGUCUGAUCGAUACCACUUUGUAGAUUUAAAUGGAGAACUGUCCAGUGUAGUGCCAGUGAAAUACGGGGUCAGUUUUAGGACCUCUGCUUUUCUCAGUAUACAUGCUUCCAUUGGGUAACAUCAUUAGAAGGCAUGGGAUUAGUUUCCAUUGCUAUGCCAAUGAUACCCAGUUAUAUAUUUCAUCAAAACCAGAUGAAAUAUCUAAUUUGUCUAGACUAAGUGAAUGUGUUAAAGAUAUUAGAAUUUGGAUGACCGAUAAUUUCCUAUUAUUAAAUUCUGAUAAGAGAUAUUACUUACUGGCCCAAAAACCAGUACACAGAAGCUCUCACAUUUCAGCUUGCAUCUAGAAGGAUGCACUGUUGGAGUGCAUCCUUCUAGACCCUCAUCCUACUAGCUCAACAGUGAAAGACCUGGGCGUAAUAUUAGACAGCAUUAUCCUUUGAAAAUCAUAUAUCCAAUAUCACAAAACAGGCUUCUUCCAUCUUAGAAAUAUUGCCAAGCUUAGGAACAUUUUAUCUGUAUCUGAUGCAGAAAAACUAGUUCAUGCAUUCAUGACCUCCAGACUGGACUACUGUAAUGCAUUACUAGGUGGUUGUCCUGCAUCUUCAAUAAACAAGCUACAGUUAGUCCAGAAUGCAGCCGCCAGAGUUCUUACCAGAUCAAGAAAAUAUGAUCAUAUAACCCCAAUAUUAUCAUCCCUGCACUGGCUACCUGUUAAGUUUAGAAUUGACUAUAAAUUAGCUCUACUUACGUACAAGGCUCUAAUUGGUUUAGCUCCCACCUAUCUCUCCAGUCUUCUAACACGUUACAAUCCACCACGCUCUUUAAGAUCGCAAAAUUCCGGACUUCUAGUAGCUCCCAGAAUAUCAAAGUCCACAAAAGGGGGUAGACGUUUUCAUAUUUAGCUCCAAAACAUUGGAAUAGUCUUCCUGACAGUGUUCGGGGCUCAGAUACAGUCUCCCAGUUUAAAUGUAGACUAAAGACUUAUCUCUUCAGCCUGGCAUACAUUUAACACAUCCCAUAACCUUGUGCUCCAGUACAUCUGAUUAAAUGCACAUUAUCAUCUAGUACUGCUAAUAUUAUGAACAGCAGCUACGCUAAUGCUGUUCCAUUGUUUCCCUUCUUCUACCCAUCCCGAGGCAUACAGAGACACUGCCGGCUCCAGUGGCAUCCGGAGAUGGACCAGCUCCGGCCGGGUUCUGCUUGUGAGGAUUGCGAUAUUCAAGCAGCGUUGUGGACAACAACCUCCAUAUUGAUUUACAUAACACUAUACACAUGCUGUAUCUGCAUCACACAAUUGUCACCCAAAUGAGGAUGGGUUCCCUUUUGAGUCUGGUUCCUCUCAAGGUUUCUUCCUCAUACUAUCUAAGGGAGUUUUUCCUUGCCACAGUCGCCUCAGUCACCUCAGGCUUGCUCACUUGGGAUAACAUCUAGGACUGUCUGUCUGUUUGUCUGUUUAUAUGUUUGUUGUUUUCUUAUGUCGUUUCUCAAGCGCUAUACAAAAAUAAAUUGAAUUGAAUUGAAAUUGAA